AUUCUGGAUCACUGCGUGUCUUGGGGAGCUUGGGAUUCCGCAGCUUGGCGGCCGAGAGCCUUUGUUUGCCUUUUUGAGACAGGGUUUCCCUCUCUCGCCCAGGCUGGAGCGCAGUCAUGCGGUUACGCCUCACUGCAGCCUCAGCUUCCCAGGAUCAAGCGGCCCUCCCACCUCAGCCUCCCGGGUAGCUGGGACCGCAGGCGCUCGCCGCUGCCUGUGGCUAAUUUUUAAACAGUUUUUUGAAAUGGGGUCUCGCUUUGUUGCUCAGGUUGGUCUCGAACUCCUGGCAUCAAGCGUUCCUCACGUCUCAGCCUCCCAUAGUGUUGGAAUUACGUGCAUGAGCCACUGCAGGCAGUCGGACUAAGGGAGUUUAAACAAAGAAGCCGGAGCCUG
Molecule: long non-coding RNA, 393 nt
Filed under: Homo sapiens (human)
Lineage: Eukaryota; Metazoa; Chordata; Mammalia; Primates; Hominidae
Description: LHRI_LNC2004.1
Source: RNAcentral